This 487-nucleotide ribosomal RNA is filed under the name Vishniacozyma carnescens. RNAcentral's name for it is "eukaryotic LSU rRNA". The stretch from base 130 to 283 matches the Rfam family "5.8S ribosomal RNA". The record is from RNAcentral. Lineage: Eukaryota; Fungi; Basidiomycota; Tremellomycetes; Tremellales; Bulleribasidiaceae.
AANGCUNNNGCUCGGUNGUNGAGUUCAUGAGUGCCUUCUCUUCGGAGUUGGCCAUCCAUACACACCGUGAACUGUGGCUUCGGCCAUCACAAACUGUUAGUAAUGAAUGUAAUAUCAUAACAAAAACAAAACUUUUAACAACGGAUCUCUUGGCUCUCGCAUCGAUGAAGAACGCAGCGAAAUGCGAUAAGUAAUGUGAAUUGCAGAAUUCAGUGAAUCAUCGAAUCUUUGAACGCACCUUGCGCCCUUUGGUAUUCCGAAGGGCAUGCCUGUUUGAGUGUCAUGAAACCUCACCCCACUUGGGUUUUUGCCUGAGCGGUGGUGUAUUGGGUGUUGCCUUGCCAAAGGCUCGCCUUAAAAACAUAAGCACCUUGGAUGUAAUACGUUUCAUCCUUCUGGGUGGCUGAUAACCCCACAUAUUCAUGAUCUGGCCUCAAAUCAGGUAGGGCUACCCGCUGAACUUAAGCAUAUCAAUAGGCGGGAGGAA